ACGUAGGAGGCAAACGUUAUCCGGAUUUACUGGGCGUAAAGCGCGUGUAGGUGGUUCUGUAAGUAGGGCGUGAAAGCUCCUGGCUCAACUGGGAGAGGCCGUUCUAAACUGCAGAGCUAGAGGAUGGUAGAGGGAGGUGGAAUUCCGGGUGUAGCGGUGGAAUGCGCCGAUAUCCGGAGGAAAGACAGUGAAGAAAGCGGACCCCUGUGCAAUUCCUGACCCUCAGACGGGCAAGCUAGGUUACCAAACGG
RNAcentral lists this ribosomal RNA (251 nucleotides) under uncultured prokaryote. RNAcentral's name for it is "partial 16S rRNA". It matches the Rfam family "Bacterial small subunit ribosomal RNA", at positions 525 to 775 of the family's 1533-position model. The record is from RNAcentral.